UUUUUACUAUAGAAAUCUAGAAAUAUUGUUCAUCAAACAAAUGGCCUACACAACAAAAAGUUCAUCUGUCGUGAUGGUUCUGGUGUUGUUUAUUUGCAUGACAUGUGUUCCUCUUUUAGGUAUGACAUCAUUCCUCUAUUUCUUGGUAUUUUAUAAAAAUUUACCAUAAAUCAUCAUAUAGUUGCAACAUCUAUUUUGAAUUUACAUCUAUACAGCUCUUGGACCGGCAUGUCUUGGACAGUGUGACGCAAUCAACAUGGACUGCUUACAACUUUGCCAAGAAUUAGCUUUUGUUAUGGGUUCAUGCAAAGGAGGGCCUCCAUCCGAGUGUUGUUGUCAUGAUUAAAUCAAUACUAUUUUAAUAACCACUUGUAAGGAAUAUAUAUUCCACAAUCCAUCAAAUAAUCGGUUAAUAGUUAUAAAUUAUUUCCGUUGAAUACUGAUGUUACGUUGAACUACAUGAUAAUCCCAU
Molecule: long non-coding RNA, 472 nt
Filed under: Lactuca sativa (garden lettuce)
Lineage: Eukaryota; Viridiplantae; Streptophyta; Magnoliopsida; Asterales; Asteraceae
Description: long non-coding RNA (LSAT_LNC001130)
Source: RNAcentral